GUUUUUUCAAUUAAAAGGCUUGUAAUGCGCCAUAAAAACCAUCACUCAGAAGGCUGAACUGUGCCUUUAAAUAAGCACACAAACAGACAAACUUCGCUUCUUGAUAUGAAAUUCAGUUUAUUUUGAAAUAAGAAAACACAGAUUAGUGAACAAAUACAAACUAAAGAGAUAAUUACAGUAAAAGUACAAAGGUAAGAUAACUAUAAACUAUUUUAUAUGCAAUUAAGGUUUAUAAAAUACUAAGUACUAUUUAUAAAUCUAAAUACUUCAUAGUGUUAAGUGUUUUGACUUUUGAGUUCAUAUUAAAUACUGGUAAACAAUGGCAGUAUUUUAGCAAAAGGUAGUGCAACACUGCAACCUCUAUAAUUAUUAUUUAGGUAUUGUCAGGAUGGAAUUUAAAUCUGUUGGAGCAAGUCUAUCACAGAGAUUUUAUGAACCAUGCAUGCAAUUUGUACAUAAUCAUAUAUUUGCCCAUUAUAUUUAUAAACUGACAGUUAAUAAUUAAUCUUUCACAGACUAAUAAAAUCAUCUGGGGCCGGUAGUUCAAAGGCUUACACGGGCUUCGAACAACCGGGCCCAGAUGAUUUUAUUAGUAUGUGAAAGAGUAAUAGUAUUAACUGUCAGUUUAUAAAUAUAAUGGGCAAAUUAGAGAUGGAG
This 657-nucleotide long non-coding RNA is filed under the name Paramuricea clavata. The record is from RNAcentral. Lineage: Eukaryota; Metazoa; Cnidaria; Anthozoa; Malacalcyonacea; Plexauridae.